UCUUUUACCCUGUUUAGGAAGCUGAAAAUAGAAACUAGACUCUCCUUAUGCCUUUUAUCUAGGUUGAACAAAUCCAGUUUCCUCAGCUUCUUGUCCUAUGUCACGUGCUUCACCAGAGAGAUGGAACUUUUCUGUUUGAUGAUCCAAGGUGAUGGCACCAGCAGGGUUAGGAAAUGAUGACAGUAUCUUGAUGACUUCAACAGAGAUGGUUGUUUCUUGGCUGAGUGGUCCUGACUAGAGGGGAGGAAGCUGAAGAUCUGAAUCAUCAUGUAAUAAGCUCUACAACUUUUUAUAAAAGAACCCAGGCUUUA
Molecule: long non-coding RNA, 311 nt
Organism: Serinus canaria (Common canary)
Lineage: Eukaryota; Metazoa; Chordata; Aves; Passeriformes; Fringillidae
Exons: 2
Source: RefSeq, a predicted model, not a curated record